AUAAUAAAACCAUGGUUAAGAGAAAACAUGGUUAUUUUUAUGGGAUGUCACCUGACUUGUUUAACUGAUCUUUAAAAAUCGCACAGACUUAUAUUGUGACGUUGUUGAUUCCAAGUUAACAUUAUCAAACUCUGCAAGCCACUUCAAACUAUUUGAGCCCAUACUCAUAUUCUGUCUCAAAUGUUCCAUAUAUUUUAAUCUUUUAAUGUGUAGUUUGCCUCUUCUUUAAGAAAAAACACUCUGUAAGUAUGAACCAGUAUUUCUAGUAGGCUACAUUUUCAUAUUUUUGUUGUUAUUGACUUACAUUGAAAUAUUCCAUGCAUGCUUUACAAUAAUGCUUCAGCUAUAUAAAAUAUAACAUUAGGGUAACGCAAGUUUUCUUUUAAAUGAUGUUCUGUUUUUCCACUUCCAUCUCUUUUUUUAAUUUCUCUGAAGGUUGUGCGGCACUUCAACCCUAUAAACUACAGUGAAUAAAGUAAGACACAUUGAAUAAGAGCCCAUUACAAGCGGUAAAUUUUAUUAUGGGAUAACAGCACAUAAAGCACAUCUAAAAUCGAUGUGUCCAAUGCACUUUUAAUAAACGUAAUAUUAAAGGUACAGUUUUCUAAGUACAAUAUAACAACAUUCAUAUUAGAAUGAAAAGUAUUUAAAAGACAACAUUAAAUUUCUUAUUUUUCUUUACAGCGGUAUUUACAAAAUGAAUCAAAAUACUUAUUUUCAUAUUUAAGAAUCAGACAAACAGAAGGAGCAAAACCACUAUUGAGAAGAGACUAUCUCCUAAAGAGAGUUCCAAAGAGCUGAAUAAAAAGGUACAUGAUCGACUGUCCCCAUUUUAAGAUCAGUAGCAAACAUGUUACAUAAAAAUUUGUGACAACCGCAAACCGUUCUCUGCUUUUUUCCCCCCACAGGAAAGCAGGAGCAAAAUCCAACCCGUCUUGCCCCAGCCCUUGUGCCCUCCCCUUCAGCUCAACAAGAAAUAGAAGUGUAGAAACAACAGGGAGAACACGGAGUGGAUUGUCUAUUGUCCGCCAGUUUGUCUCUGCAAAUAUCCAAACGGGGGUUCGCGUUUAACAUCCAACCAGGGUGCAACUGACUGGAUGCAAUGUCCCAUAACCAAGUUGUUCAGAGGAAAAGAAAAAGUAACAUCUGAGAAUCUCUGAAAAUACAGGACAUCACAGAGACAAGAAAAUGCUGUUUCCAUGGCUAUAAACAAACAUGAAAUGCCUCAUUUACAUACAAAAAGACGGCCGAUGAAAAGUCGGUAACACAGACAGAAUUCACCUACGUGUGCAAACACAGUCAGUUGAGUAUGUGAAAAAAAAUGGACGAAUAGUUUCUGCAUCCUGUACCACUGAGAGGCACUCAGUGUAGUUUGCUCUGUAUUAUUGCAAGUAGAUUCUGCCUUGCUACGAAGAUAAAAACAGGAAGUUUCGCACAAAACUUCGUACAACCGCCUUUGUCCUGUACAAUUUAUAACACUUAACCAUCGUGUGUGUAUGUAAGUGUA
Molecule: long non-coding RNA, 1507 nt
Organism: Cyprinus carpio (common carp)
Lineage: Eukaryota; Metazoa; Chordata; Actinopteri; Cypriniformes; Cyprinidae
Source: Ensembl